RNAcentral lists this transfer RNA (121 nucleotides) under Microcaldota archaeon. Its description in RNAcentral is "tRNA-Asn". The stretch from base 55 to 115 matches the Rfam family "tRNA", at positions 6 to 65 of the family's 71-position model. Rfam says of the family: Transfer RNA (tRNA) molecules are approximately 80 nucleotides in length. The record is from RNAcentral. Lineage: Archaea; Nanobdellati; Microcaldota.
GCCCCGGUAGCUCAGCUUGAACCCUUUUGAUCUCUGAGAUUUAAUCUGUCAAAUGGUUCCUGAUAGGUAGAGCGACUGACUGUUAAUCAGUAGGCCCGAAGUUCAAAUCUUCGCCGGGGCG